This 343-nucleotide long non-coding RNA is filed under the name Brassica napus (rape). Its description in RNAcentral is "long non-coding RNA (BNAP_LNC009295)". Lineage: Eukaryota; Viridiplantae; Streptophyta; Magnoliopsida; Brassicales; Brassicaceae. The record is from RNAcentral.
CAGAGCGUCGAUCGAUGCUUCUUCAGACAAGCGUUAUCGCACAGAUCAAUAAUGUUCAAUUAGCUCUAGACCAACUCUCGUAUGCGCCUAGAUAACGAAUCCACGCAGGGUUCGGGUUCUGUUAAUCAAUUGCACUUUCGUGCCUCUCAAUUAUCCUAUGAUUCUAGGUUCAAACAAUCAGUCACACUAUCGUGCUUUUCUAACUAUUCCAGAUCUUAGUAUUACAAGCUACCCUGGUGUAGAAAUCAGUAAACAAACCCUAGAAAUCCUAAUAGAUUAUCAAUAUGACAUUAUGCUCAUGGAAUCCCUAAACCUAACAGGAUGAAUUACUCGGACAUGCAAG